AACGAACGCUGGCGGCAUGCCUAACACAUGCAAGUCGAACGAGACCUUCGGGUCUAGUGGCGCACGGGUGCGUAACGCGUGGGAACCUGCCCUUAGGUUCGGACUAACUCCCCGAAAGGGGUGCUAAUACCGGAUAAUGUCUUCGGACCAAAGAUUUAUCGCCUUUGGAUGGGCCCGCGUUGGAUUAGCUAGUUGGUAGGGUAAAAGCUUACCAAGGCGACGAUCCAUAGCUGGUCUGAGAGGAUGAUCAGCAACACUGGGACUGAGACACGGCCCAGACUCCUACGGGAGGCAGCAGUGGGGAAUAUUGGACAGUGGGCGAAGGCCUGAUCCAGCAAUGCCGCGUGAGUGAUGAAGGCCUUAGGGUUGUAAAGCUCUUGUACCCGUGAUGAUAAUGACAGUACCGGGAGAAUAAGCUCCGGCUAACUCCGUG
Molecule: ribosomal RNA, 433 nt
Filed under: uncultured bacterium
Lineage: Bacteria
Description: partial 16S ribosomal RNA
Rfam family: Bacterial small subunit ribosomal RNA
Source: RNAcentral